CGGCGAACGGGUGAGUAACACGUAGGCAACCUACCUUGUAGACGGGGAUAACCCCGGGAAACCGGAGCUAAUACUCGAUGUUAUUGCGAUGCAGCAUCGCAAUGCAAUAAAAAGCCGAAAGGUGCUACAAGAUGGGCCUGCGUCCCAUUAGAUAGUUGGCGGGGUAAUGGCCCACCAAGUCGACGAUGGGUAGCUGGUCUGAGAGGACGAUCAGCCACACUGGAACUGAGACACGGUCCAGACUUCUACGGAAGGCAGCAGUGAGGAGUAUUGCUCAAUGGGCGAAAGCCUGAAGCAGCGACGCCGCGUGAGGGAUGAAAUCCGUUAGGAUGUAAACCUCUUUUGCAGGGGAAGAAUGUUCCGAAUUUAUUCGGAAUUGACGGUACUCUGCGAAUAAGCACCGGCAAACUACGUGCCAGCAGCCGCGGUAAUACGUAGGGUGCGAGCGUUGUCCGGAAUUACUGGGUGUAAAGGGUCCGUAGGCGGAUCUGUAAGUCGAUGGUGAAAUCUUCGGGCUCAACCCGGAGUCUGCUGUCGAUACUAUAGAUCUUGAGUUCGAGAGAGGAUAAUGGAAUUCAUGGUGUAGCGGUGAAAUGCGUAGAGAUCAUGAAGAACACCGGUAGCGAAGGCGGUUAUCUGGCUCGAAACUGACGCUGAGGGACGAAAGCGUGGGUAGCAAACAGGAUUAGAUACCCUGGUAGUCCACGCCUUAAACGAUGGAUGUUCGGUGUCGGCCCGUAAGGUCGGUGCCUGAGCUAACGCGUUAAACAUCCCACCUGGGGAGUACGAUCGCAAGGUUGAAACUCAAAGGAAUUGACGGGGCUCGCACAAGCAGUGAGCAUGUGGUUCAAUUCG
Molecule: ribosomal RNA, 855 nt
Filed under: uncultured bacterium
Lineage: Bacteria
Description: bacterial SSU rRNA
Rfam family: Bacterial small subunit ribosomal RNA
Source: RNAcentral